This 1973-nucleotide ribosomal RNA is filed under the name Salmonella enterica subsp. enterica serovar Indiana. RNAcentral describes it as "partial 23S ribosomal RNA". It matches the Rfam family "Bacterial large subunit ribosomal RNA", at positions 1 to 2179 of the family's 2925-position model. Lineage: Bacteria; Pseudomonadati; Pseudomonadota; Gammaproteobacteria; Enterobacterales; Enterobacteriaceae. The record is from RNAcentral.
CACUAAGCCAGUGGUGAACUCCACAUACGCAUCCUUUGCUGAGGAGACGGUUAACGGAGCGAAAGCGACGUUCAACCUCAAAACAAGCAGAGGGGGCUUAGUGGUGGGGUGACUGCGUACCUUUUGUAUAAUGGGUCAGCGACUUAUAUUCUGUAGCAAGGUUAACCGCAUAGGGGAGCCGCAGGGAAACCGAGUCUUAACCGGGCGUUAAGUUGCAGGGUAUAGACCCGAAACCCGGUGAUCUAGCCAUGGGCAGGUUGAAGGUUGGGUAACACUAACUGGAGGACCGAACCGACUAAUGUUGAAAAAUUAGCGGAUGACCUGUGGCUGGGGGUGAAAGGCCAAUCAAACCGGGAGAUAGCUGGUUCUCCCCGAAAGCUAUUUAGGUAGCGCCUCGUGAAUUCAUCUCCGGGGGUAGAGCACUGUUUCGGCUAGGGGGCCAUCCCGGCUUACCAACCCGAUGCAAACUGCGAAUACCGGAGAAUGUUAUCACGGGAGACACACGGCGGGUGCUAACGUCCGUCGUGAAGAGGGAAACAACCCAGACCGCCAGCUAAGGUCCCAAAGUCAUGGUUAAGUGGGAAACGAUGUGGGAAGGCCCAGACAGCCAGGAUGUUGGCUUAGAAGCAGCCAUCAUUUAAAGAAAGCGUAAUAGCUCACUGGUCGAGUCGGCCUGCGCGGAAGAUGUAACGGGGCUAAACCAUGCACCGAAGCUGCGGCAGCGAACGUAUCACCCAAGACAACUUUGCGGAGUUGACGAUUGACGGAGCGAAGCGACGUCAAAGCGUUCAUUAAAGUCGAGUUGGCUUAGGGAUACGUUCGUUGGGUAGGGGAGCGUUCUGUAAGCCUGUGAAGGUAUGCUGUGAGGCANGAUGUAACGGGGCUAAACCAUGCACCGAAGCUGCGGCAGCGACACUGUGUGUUGUUGGGUAGGGGAGCGUUCUGUAAGCCUGCGAAGGUGGCCUGUGAGGGUUGCUGGAGGUAUCAGAAGUGCGAAUGCUGACAUAAGUAACGAUAAAGCGGGUGAAAAGCCCGCUCGCCGGAAGACCAAGGGUUCCUGUCCAACGUUAAUCGGGGCAGGGUGAGUCGACCCCUAAGGCGAGGCCGAAAGGCGUAGUCGAUGGGAAACGGGUUAAUAUUCCCGUACUUGGUGUUACUGCGAAGGGGGGACGGAGAAGGCUAUGUUGGCCGGGCGACGGUUGUCCCGGUUUAAGCGUGUAGGCUGGUUUUCCAGGCAAAUCCGGAAAAUCAAGGNUAUGUUGGCCGGGCGACGGUUGUCCCGGUUUAAGCGUGUAGGUGUGUGUUCCAGGUAAAUCCGGUUCACUUUAACACUGAGGCGUGACGACGAGGCACUACGGUGCUGAAGCAACAAAUGCCCUGCUUCCAGGAAAAGCCUCUAAGCAUCAGGUAACAUCAAAUCGUACCCCAAACCGACACAGGUGGUCAGGUAGAGAAUACCAAGGCGCUUGAGAGAACUCGGGUGAAGGAACUAGGCAAAAUGGUGCCGUAACUUCGGGAGAAGGCACGCUGACACGUAGGUGAAGUGAUUUACUCAUGGAGCUGAAGUCAGUCGAAGAUACCAGCUGGCUGCAACUGUUUAUUAAAAACACAGCACUGUGCAAACACGAAAGUGGACGUAUACGGUGUGACGCCUGCCCGGUGCCGGAAGGUUAAUUGAUGGGGUCAGCGCAAGCGAAGCUCCUGAUCGAAGCCCCGGUAAACGGCGGCCGUAACUAUAACGGUCCUAAGGUAGCGAAAUUCCUUGUCGGGUAAGUUCCGACCUGCACGAAUGGCGUAAUGAUGGCCAGGCUGUCUCCACCCGAGACUCAGUGAAAUUGAACUCGCUGUGAAGAUGCAGUGUACCCGCGGCAAGACGGAAAGACCCCGUGAACCUUUACUAUAGCUUGACACUGAACAUUGAGCCUUGAUGUGUAGGAUAGGUGGGAGGCUUUGAAGUGUGGACGCCAGUCUGC